AUAUAAUAUUUUUUGUAUUCAGAGACAGCAGGUGGCUUUGCGCCAUAAUUCCUGCCGAGAAUGCAGUAUAUGUGUUUGCUUAUGCUGUUUUGUGUCUUUGGAUGCAAAGCAGCAUUUUGUUUUGUUUU
Molecule: regulatory RNA element, 128 nt
Organism: Intestinimonas butyriciproducens
Lineage: Bacteria; Bacillati; Bacillota; Clostridia; Eubacteriales
Rfam family: Ribosomal protein L10 leader
About the family: This family is a putative r-protein leader autoregulatory structure found in B. subtilis and other low-GC Gram-positive bacteria. It is located in the 5' untranslated regions of mRNAs encoding ribosomal proteins L10 and L12 (rplJ-rplL). A Rho-independent transcription terminator structure that is probably involved in regulation is included at the 3' end.
Source: Rfam